UGACAGACAAGAGUCACUAUGCAUUUACUCUUUUCUUCUAGGACCACACAACUAAGUAUACCACGAUGAACAAAAUAGACAAGAAAUAAACUCUGCCUUCCUGGACCUUGGAUUUCAUUGGAAGAUCUAUUCAAGUAAACAAGAAAUUACACUGAAUCCAUUGUGCUAAGCAGAGCAAAAGGGGAACUCUAGCUGCUUUAAAGCAGUGAGUUUAGUUAAAAUACAGUAGUUAAGGGAUAGAUUUGGGAGAUCAAUAAUGAGUUCAAUUUAUAGUGAUAUAGAUUCAUUUGUGCAAUAUUUAGGGAAGUUGUGCCGAAUAAUAUUGAGUACCUAUGUUUAAAGCUCAUAGAUUUUGUUUUUAAAGUAAUUAGGUACAUUUGGUAGCUGACCUAUGGAAUAAAAAUAUUUACCUUGUGAAUGAUGGCAUCACGGCCAACAGUGGGACCUCAGGGAAAGCCAUGUUUUAAAGUCACAGAGAAGAAAGAACCAACAGUGAACACAGAGAAGGUACCAUCUUGUAUGAGGUGAAGAACCAUCGAAUUUUGUUAAGAAGGAUAAAGCUGGAGAUAAUUUCAAGAAGUAGAGCAUGCACAAAUCUGUCAAGUUCAAAGAAGUGAAAGAAGAGCUCGAGAGUGCAAGCAGGGGGAUUGGCAGAGGGAGAGGGAGAAAGAGGCUCCUGCUGAUCAAGAAGCCCAACACAGGGCUCAAUCCCAGGACUCCAGGAUCAUGACCUAAGCCAAAAGCAGUCAUUUAACCAACUGAACCAUUCAGGUGCCCUUGCUUCAGAGAUUUUUGGGAAAAAAAACAAACAAACAAAAAAAAAAAACAAAAAAAAACAAAGAAAUCUUUCCUGAUGCAGACAAGAAUAACACGAGGAAAAUGUCUUUUUGUCCCUCUUCGUGCUUAUCUAAGCUUUAACACAAUGAAAAUGUGGUUUCUUUAAUUUAACAGUCAUCUUGUUUCUAUCAAAUGAUAAGGGACAGGACUAAACCAAAAUGCUUAGGACAAUGAAAUGCUCAACACAGUAACAUGAAACAACAGAAAUAUGGAGAUAAUUCUUAAUAGUUUGCUUUCUUUGCUUUAUUCAUUUAUUUCUUAAUUUUAGAUCCUAAAAUAUUGCUAAAACCUUAAAAUCAAAUGGGAUUCCUGUGAACUAUAAUAGUACAUGGAUAUUAAGUAAUUAGAGGAAUUAACUUUGAAUUUUAUGGAUCAUAAAAACAAAAGGAGCCACUUUUAUAUUAUCUUCUGUAUUAAUAGAAUCUAUCUGGAGAGGGGUUUUAUCUUCUAAAGCUUUAUAGUUUAAAGCAGAUGACUCAUAGUUUCAAAAUAAAAUUUUAAAAUAAUGUAAAGUGUAAUAGGCUUAAUCCAGGAAAUCUAUUAUAUACUAGAAUUUAGACAGUUGUUACUUGAAUCAUGAAGUUAUUACUAGUUUCACAAUUGGUAUUUUUAUGUACUUGGAUAGAAAAUCUUUUAGCCCGUAAGUCAUCAAUUAACAAUUAUUAAAUUAGUAACAAGGUUCUAAUCAAAUAGUUUAUUUUUGGAAAACAAGGACAUGAUUAAUAUUGCUUUAGGGAUUUUUCAUUACUCCUGUUAAAUAGUAACGUAAUUUUAGUAUUAGUAAUAAAAUAUUUGUAACUGUGUCAAGACUUUAAAUUCAGAAAAAUAAUAUUGCUUUUAUACUUUUUAUUCUCCUUUUUAAAACAUUUCCUGUUUACUGUAAUGCUGACCGUUGGCCUCCUCUCUUGCCCUUCUCUAACGGAUCCUCCUGUUUUCUUUACAAACAUAAAACUGAUAUGUUAUUUUUCUUCUUAAAAUACUCAAAUUGCCUUUGGAUAUAAUCCAGUGAAUUUAAAGCCAUGAAUGAUUUGGCCACUACCUCUCCUCUCCUGUUGCCUUUGCAUUCAGUAAGCGCUUAUCCCCUGUCCACACUUAACAAAUGGUACCUUGAGAAUCCCCAUGCUUAGAAGUGAUUCCUUGUUUUACAUUUUUGCAAAAUGUGGCACUUAUGCUUUUUUAUAAAAGGUCUACCAAAUAUGAAAUAGCAUCUCAUAGCAAAGAAAGCUGAUUCUUGUCUGUCCAUUUUUUAUUUUUUAUUUUUGCCCUUCAUAGGCAUUCUUUACAUUUUCUCAGAUUAUUUUUCAAUUACAUGUGUUACAAAUUCUCUCAGAAAAUGAGGAAGUUUUCUUUAAAUCAUUUUCCCUCUAUAGUAUUAGUAUAGUACAUAGUAUACAGUAUUUUUUUAAUUCAAUAUGGCAUAUUCUGUAUUUUUUUUAAUUUUUUAUUUUUUAUAAACAUGUAUUUUUAUCCCCAGGGGUACAGGUCUGUGAAUCACCAGGUUUACACACUUCACAGCACUCACCAAAGCACAUACCCUCCCCAAUGUCCAUAAUCCCAC
Molecule: long non-coding RNA, 2395 nt
Filed under: Mustela putorius furo (domestic ferret)
Lineage: Eukaryota; Metazoa; Chordata; Mammalia; Carnivora; Mustelidae
Description: lncRNA (ENSMPUG00000026955.1)
Source: RNAcentral